GUCUAAGUUACUAGUUAGAUCAUGGCUAGUCCUACUCUGCAGUAAGUAAGUUAGCUAGCUGUAUUUCCUUACACUUUUACAAUAGAAAAACAGGUUAUCUGCAAAUUGUGGUCAUUUUUUGAGUAACGUUAACAGAUUGAUAAUAACAAUUGUUAGUUUUGAGUCCAAGUUCGAAAAUCUAACUGAGUUAAUGGAUUUCAAGUGGCUGAAUGUUAACUUGCUGAACACUGACAGCUAUAGCCUACAUUAGCAAAACAUUCAUAUACUGCAAUUUACGACACUGCACUGUAUAUAUGCAGGGUAGCCUAGUUUUAAAAAAAUAUAUAUUUUACCGUUAUUUUACUAGGCAAGUCAGUUAAGAACAAAUUAUUAUUUUCAAUGACGGCUUAGGAACAGUGGGUUAACUGCCUGUUCAGGGGCAGAACGACAGAUUUGUACCUUGUCAGCUCGGGGGUUUAACUUAACUGACUUGCCUAGUUAAAUAAAGAUCAAAUAAAAAUAAUUAAAAAAUAAUAAUAAUGUUAGGCUAAAUUGGGAACCGAUCUCUCUUAUCUGAUUAACUGUCUGUUAAUGGUGCCAAAGGUCUAACGUUAACUUACACUGCGACUCAACUUUCGUAAAAGUUGUUCAGGAAACCUAAACCCGCUGCUAAACAUUAAAACUUACUUUAAAUAUGAUGCUUUUGCCAAUCGCGAAAAGAGCUUGUGGAGCUGUGGAAAUAUUCUCUCUUCUUCUUCUGAAUGCUUAUUCUUAUUCUUCUGUAUCUCGCAACCAAAGUUAAUAUUCUAUUUUCCUCGUCCUCGAUUUGAAAAAUCCACCGCCGAAUGUCAAAAUAAAUGCUUCUUUCAACAAGUGGUGAAAUGAGAUGUCAAUCAGCAUCAAGCUGCCAGUAGCGAAUGACAUUUGGGGUGGCACCCCUCUGGCUCCGCCCCUGGGUGGGUGCUGUGUGGGUGGGAGGUUCUGUUUGUCACUUGUUCUCAACAGGCAGCCAGUCGCCGAAGGGGGACUUGAAGAGGGAGAAUGCAAAGUCCAGGCACUGCUGCUCUCUUUGUUCUAAGUGUUUGCAGUGCUAGUGUUUUUUCGUUAAUCUGUGUAUCUCACAUAUUAUGUGCCCAGUAUGAUAGAUCAAGAAAACGUUCUUAGCAGAUAAUAAAAUGACAAUAACAGUAGCUGUAGAUUAUGUAAUGAAAAAUUGGGGGGUGGUUGGUAAUGGAGGACAUCAGGUGGAUCCACGUCUGGGUGUUGGACAGAACCCCUAGGUCCUGGAGAACAGGUAAUGGAGGACAUCAGGUGGAUCCACGUCUGGGUGUUGGACAGAACCCCUAGGUCCUGGAGAACAGGUAAUGGAGGACAUCAGGUGGAUCCACGUCUGGGUGUUGGGCAGAACCCCUAGGUCCUGGAGAACAGGUAAUGGAGGACAUCAGGUGGAUCCACGUCUGGGUGUUGGGCAGAACCCCUAGGUCCUGGAGAACAGGUAAUGGAGGACAUCAGGUGGAUCCACGUCUGGGUGUUGGGCAGAACCCCUAGGUCCUGGAGAACAGGUAAUGGAGGACAUCAGGUGGAUCCACGUCUGGGUGUUGGGCAGAACCCCUAGGUCCUGGAGAACAGGUAAUGGAGGACAUCAGGUGGAUCCACGUCUGGGUGUUGGGCAGAACCCCUAGGUCCUGGAGAACAGGUAAUGGAGGACAUCAGGUGGAUCCACGUCUGGGUGUUGGACAGAACCCCUAGGUCCUGGGGAACAGGUAAUGGAGGACAUCAGGUGGAUCCACGUCUGGGUGUUGGACAGAACCCCUAGGUCCUGGGGAACAGGUAAUGGAGGACAUCAGGUGGAUCCACGUCUGGGUGUUGGACAGAACCCCUAGGUCCUGGGGAACAGGUAAUGGAGGACAUCAGGUGGAUCCACGUCUGGGUGUUGGACAGAACCCCUAGGUCCUGGAGAACAGGUAAUGGAGGACAUCAGGUGGAUCCACGUCUGGGUGUUGGGCAGAACCCCUAGGUCCUGGGGAACAGGUAAUGGAGGACAUCAGGUGGAUCCACGUCUGGGUGUUGGGCAGAACCCCUAGGUCCUGGGGAACAGGUAAUGGAGGACAUCAGGUGGAUCCACGUCUGGGUGUUGGACAGAACCCCUAGGUCCUGGAGAACAGGUAAUGGAGGACAUCAGGUGGAUCCACGUCUGGGUGUUGGACAGAACCCCUAGGUCCUGGAGAACAGGUAAUGGAGGACAUCAGGUGGAUCCACGUCUGGGUGUUGGACAGAACCCCUAGGUCCUGGAGAACAGGUAAUGGAGGACAUCAGGUGGAUCCAC
Molecule: long non-coding RNA, 2305 nt
Organism: Oncorhynchus keta (chum salmon)
Lineage: Eukaryota; Metazoa; Chordata; Actinopteri; Salmoniformes; Salmonidae
Exons: 4
Source: RefSeq, a predicted model, not a curated record